This 238-nucleotide ribosomal RNA is filed under the name uncultured bacterium. Its description in RNAcentral is "partial 16S ribosomal RNA". It matches the Rfam family "Bacterial small subunit ribosomal RNA", at positions 104 to 334 of the family's 1533-position model. The record is from RNAcentral.
UGGCGGGACGGGGUGGAGUAAUGUCUGGGAAACUGCCCGAUGGAGGGGGGUAACUACUGGAAACGGUAGCUAAUACCGCAUAACGUCGCAAGACCAAAGAGGGGACCGUUCGGGCCUCUUGCCAUCGGAUGUGCCCAGAUGGGAUUAGCUAGUAGGUGGGGUAACGGCUCACCUAGGCGACGAUCCCUAGCUGGUCUGAGAGGAUGACCAGCCACACUGGAACUGAGACACGGUCCAG